This 169-nucleotide ribosomal RNA is filed under the name Pseudobambusa schizostachyoides. RNAcentral's name for it is "5.8S ribosomal RNA". It matches the Rfam family "5.8S ribosomal RNA". Rfam says of the family: 5.8S ribosomal RNA (5.8S rRNA) is a component of the large subunit of the eukaryotic ribosome. It is transcribed by RNA polymerase I as part of the 45S precursor that also contains 18S and 28S rRNA. Lineage: Eukaryota; Viridiplantae; Streptophyta; Magnoliopsida; Poales; Poaceae. The record is from RNAcentral.
UCGAACUUACUCUCAGACACGGAUAUCUCGGUUCUUGCAUCGAUAAACUACGUAUCGAAAUGCGUAUCACUUGGCGUGAACUGCAGAAUAACCGUGAACCAUCGAGUCUUUGAACGCAAGUUGCGCCCGAAGCCAUUAGGCCGAGGGCACGCCUGCCUGGGUGUCACAC